AAAUUGUUAUUAAAUUUCUAUGAAUUACGCAAUAUCCAUUCUCUGAUCAUUAGACUAAACCUAAACUCUCUCCCAACCCAGAAAAUCCUCUACCCCUCUCCCUGAUUUAUUCGCUUCUUCACAAUUAUGUUCUCAAUUUCUGAGAUCUCUCUUCGUUAUUUGAUUCCUCAACUCUGUAAUUUCGCAAUUAGGUUUCGAUUGUAUUCAAACCAAGCUCUGGUGAAUCGACUCAAUUAGGUUCGAUUUUGUUCAAACCAAGCUCCGGCGAAUCGCCUCAAUUAGAUUUCGAUUCUGUUCAAACCAAGCUCCGGCGAAUCGCCUUAAUUAGGUUUCGAUUCUGUUCAAACCAAGCUCCGGCGAAUCGUCUGCCGCCGUGAACAACUCAAAAUCGCCUUCAAUCCGCUCUAUUACCAGAUCAGAACUGGUUUGCUCGAGAUAUAGUUCUAAGCGGCGUGUCUCGUUGACAAAGUAGAAUUUUCCGUUCGUCUUUUUCACUCGAAGAUUCAUACUUUAGUUUUCUCCUUAAGGUGGAAGAUGUCAUCGCAUAAUUGGCUACACCGCUGAUGAAUCUGGUGGGGCUGAAGACGGUUGAAAUGGCUGCCGAGGUCAGAUUCAGCACUAUAAUCAUUUUGUCGAUCGUUCACAUUCUCAGAUAUAUUAACCACCGCAAUUUCCAUCAAUUCUGAGCACAAGGGCUUGUUUUUGCUAUUUUUUUUUCCGUUUGCAUCCCACUUGAGCAAGGUAAGAUCAUUUUAGCUCGAUUGGAUUGCCUCGUAUUAUUAUUUGAGGUUGUCUCAUUUCCAUUUGCUCUGUUUUUUUGUCCAGAAUCUUUAAGAGGGGUGAACCACUCAAGCUUGUGUAUGGUGGCGAAUCUGAGAGAACCUUUGUUUAUAAUAAGUAUGCCAUUGAAAUUGUUCUUUUGAUGAUUGUAUGCUCUUACCUUGUCUCCCUAAUAUUUGUGUGUGAUAUUAAAAAUUUAGUAUGUAGAAGUUUGGUUAAGCAGUAUGGUUUUUCCCAGGAAAAUCCUGCCAGAGCUAAUGGUCAUAUAUUUAACCUGGACAAUCCUAACAGUUAAGUUACGGUCAAACAGCUUGACAAAAUGAUGACUCAGGUUUACACGAUGGUUAGUGGAGAGCCGCCUCCAAAGAUUUCUAUUGUGAAGGAUAAAUCGAUAGUAGUAGACAUGACAAUAAUCAACCGACAACAUGGAUAGGACCCAAAAGCAUCACUUUGGGACUUGCUUGAAUCAACUCUUACUAUACUUACCAACACAAGACAUAUGCCGAAGGGAGUGAUACAUAAAGGCUGAGUAACGAGAGCACAGGGCUCUAAUUCCAAUUACAAGCCAUGGAACAACAAUUGUGUGACGUGUUAUGGCAGUUUGAUGGAAUGUAUACGAGGGUGGAAUUCGGAGACGGUACAAUUCCUUCGGAAUUAGGGAAUUUGAAGUUGCUCAAUAUUCUCUUUCUGCAUAUGAAAUAUGAAUUGACUUUCAUGGCCAAUGCUGAAUGAAGUAAGUAACUUGACAAACCUCGUAAAUCUCGGUCUUUUAUACAUUAACACAAAAAAUCCCAUAUGAAUUCAUGAGCCUCAAGUAAGUCAAGCUUCUCAAACUGUUCAUGAACAGAUUGCAAGGCUCGACACCGGACUUUAUACGAUUAUUCCGAGCUGGAAACUCUCGGUCUUUGGAUGAACAAUUUCACCAGCACUAUCCCGAGCUUAAUUUGUAGCACCCAUGUAUUCUCUCAGACCUCUUAUCAAACAGCUUGUUCGCACCAUCAUGCAAUUGAAUCUUUCACCCUGA
Molecule: non-coding RNA, 1804 nt
Organism: Erythranthe guttata (spotted monkey flower)
Lineage: Eukaryota; Viridiplantae; Streptophyta; Magnoliopsida; Lamiales; Phrymaceae
Source: RefSeq, a predicted model, not a curated record